Molecule: ribosomal RNA, 477 nt
Filed under: uncultured bacterium
Lineage: Bacteria
Description: bacterial SSU rRNA
Rfam family: Bacterial small subunit ribosomal RNA
Source: RNAcentral
UAGGACGAACGCUGGCGGCACGCUUAACACUUGCAAGUCGAACGGAGUUAAAGAGCUUGCUUUUAAACUUAGUGGCGGACGGGUGAGUAACACGUGAGCAAUCUGCCUUCAGAGGGGGAUAGCAGUUGGAAACGACUGAUAAUACCGCAUAAUAUAGCGGGACCGCAUGAUCCUGCUAUCAAAGAUUUUUAUCGCUGAAAGAUGAGCUCGCGUCUGAUUAGGUAGUUGGUGAGGUAACGGCUCACCAAGCCGACGAUCAGUAGCCGGACUGAGAGGUUGAACGGCCACAUUGGGACUGAGACACGGCCCAGACUCCUACGGGAGGCAGCAGUGGGGAAUAUUGCACAAUGGGCGCAAGCCUGAUGCAGCGAUGCCGCGUGAGGGAAGAAGGUUUUAGGAUUGUAAACCUCUGUCCUAUGGAAAGAUAAUGACGGUACCAUAGGAGGAAGCUCCGGCUAACUACGUGCCAGCCGCCGC